CAACCCAUCUCAUCCUAAGCUAUGAUUCGCUCAGUGCACGUGUCCAGCAGGAGCACAGCCAACCAAGCCCACCUCUCUUCAAAAAUUAUUUUCCUUCUCUUGCUCCUUGGGCCUAAUAUUUUUUUUCCACUGAAGCCCAUCUAGCGAUCACACCUCAACCCCAGGCGCAUGGACGUGCUCGUCUCCUUCCUCUGCACGUUCAAUCUGGAGCAGUGGAGCAGGAACAUAACAGAAACGGCCAUGGCUCCCCACCUCUUCCUCUCCUCCUCCCACUCAAUUCAUUCCCCAUUACGACUUGCCACCAAUACAAAAAUUAUUGAGGAAUGUCAAGAGAACUCAUUCAGGGAAUUAAAACUCAAUUUCGUUGCUUUAAUUGGACGCACGGAGCCGUGAAACGUACACGCACAAACUGCCAUUAUUGGCCACGAUGAGCUCUCUUGAUCUCCAUCUCCCGGCCUCCCCUUCCUCUAUAAAAGGAACCCUGAGUAGCGCCUCGAAGCCUCCCACUUCCUCUCCAGAAACCCCUCUCCAUCUCCCUCCCCAUGGUUGUCAAUUUGUAGCCGGAGUCCGAACUCUGCCGCAGCUUCCGACGAAGUUUCAGUCACGUGUGCCGGAGCUCACGAACGGCGACGAGUACAUCCAACCGGAAACUCCGGCGAACUCCAGCGGGUUCACACGGCUUCCCGAGGACGAAUUGGUCGUCAACGACGACAUCACCUUCAUCACCGCGUGGUGUACUUCACCGUCCGCCUCUCCUACUCGCCGGAGCACGCCCCGACCGGACCUCCUUCCCCCGAUAUAUCGUAACGAGAAGGAGAGACGACUCAAUAUAAUAUUUCAUCUUCAUCAACAGUACAAGGCAAGUUACUUCUCGAUCAUGCCCUUUUAUACCUAUGUUUUAUAUAUGCAUUUAGUCCUUUGAUGUAGGGUUUGCAUGAAUAUGUUAGUUGGCUAUAUUAUAAACCCAGUAGUGCAAUGAGGUAGGUCUGAGCCUUUACUUCUUUGUCGCCAACGUUGUAGGGAUUUUGCUAUGCCAUUGUAG
This is a long non-coding RNA of Aegilops tauschii subsp. strangulata, 1042 nucleotides long. RefSeq lists it as uncharacterized. The record is from RefSeq and is a predicted model, not a curated record. NCBI's taxonomy places the organism in Eukaryota, Viridiplantae, Streptophyta, Magnoliopsida, Poales, Poaceae.